GCGGAGCGCGUCCGCGCCGGCGCGUCGAGGGAAGAGGCAGCCGCCGCGAUGGACGCGUUCCUCAUGAUCCGGCGCCACAAGACCACCAUCUUCACUGACGCCAAGGAAUCGAGCACCGUGUUUGAGCUGAAGCGCAUCGUCGAGGGCAUUCUUAAGCGGCCGCCCGAGGAGCAGCGACUGUACAAGGUGCGACCCCCGCGGUUGGGCCUGGGCGGUGGUGGGGCUGAGAGGAACCCCGAUGUCGGUGUCAUCGAUAUAAACAGUGGCAGGCCAGCCGACGCCUGCUCCCGGUCCUAGCCGCGUGGGUGGGGCAUCCGUUGUGCGGAUGGAGCACGAGCUGCACUCUUAUACCG
Otolemur garnettii (small-eared galago) is the source of this 353-nucleotide RNA transcript. It is a transcript of the gene named elongin-B pseudogene, with no coding region annotated. Lineage: Eukaryota; Metazoa; Chordata; Mammalia; Primates; Galagidae. The record is from RefSeq and is a predicted model, not a curated record. The transcript has a single exon.